GGAGUGAUGGCUCAGUGGCUAAGAGCACCCGACUGCUCUUCCGAAGGUCCAGAGUUCAAAUCCCAGCAACCACA
This 74-nucleotide transfer RNA is filed under the name Mus musculus (house mouse). Its description in RNAcentral is "tRNA-Ser". Lineage: Eukaryota; Metazoa; Chordata; Mammalia; Rodentia; Muridae. The record is from RNAcentral.